RNAcentral lists this long non-coding RNA (1157 nucleotides) under Oryctolagus cuniculus (rabbit). Its description in RNAcentral is "lncRNA (ENSOCUG00000037589.1)". Lineage: Eukaryota; Metazoa; Chordata; Mammalia; Lagomorpha; Leporidae. The record is from RNAcentral.
GGCAUUUCCCUGUGACUCAGGGUUUCAGCAUAGGGAUUGGGGACAGGGAGGCAAGCCCUCAGACCACAGCAAAUGGCUCUGAACCAAGAAAACUGCAGGAUGAGGGAGGACUCAGAGCCUUCCAGAGUGCAGGCUCAGGUCACCCAACUAAUCAAAGGCCACCUGGAGUUCUGGCCGAGGACAGGGCAAGUACAGAGGAGGGUUGGGUGAGGGAAGCCACUGGGUCGAUUACAGCCUGGGGGUUCAGUGCAAAGCCGAGUGCGUGGUAGCUCAGCCUCGUUCCCGUCUGCUUGUCUCAUACACACACACCCAUAAGUAUAUGUGCAUUAUAAUGUAUAAAACGAAGGCAUGCGUGUCUAUAUUGAAGUGUAUGUGCGAUGUCUACCAGCUUUGGGAUAGUGCACGUGAAGCACCUUCUUCUCCUGCCUCCCCAGCUCGUCUGCUACCCCAGAUGCUGGAAGCUGAUGUUGCAGUUCUGUGUGCGGGAAGCACCUGUCCGGGGAGGCUGGGGGAUCUGCCAGCGAAGAAAGGAGAAGCAGCUGCAGGGAUCGUGCCUCCUCGCUGGGCUGCACGGCAGACCUUGUCACGUGGAAGCGAUCUCACAGGAUGGUGCCAGCCUGUGAGUGACCUUUCCUCCACUCAGCCAGCAUGUAUGAGCACCUACUGGAUGCAUCCGUGAACAAGACAGGAGCACCAAACCACAGCCUCAUGGAAGUUACGUUCUAGUCAGGAGAGAAAACAAACGAUUAAAAAGCGAUGUGGUGCCAGGUGGCGGUGCCUGCUUUGCAGGAAACGUGUCUGCUUAAGAGGAGAGGGGAGGGUGCACCGUCAGUGUGCGUCCACCUCCGCGCGGUCAGGACGGCCUCUCUGAGACAGUGGACGUGAGCGGUGGCUCGGGGGAAGAGGGGCCCGGUGCCCGAGACACUGGCUGAAAGGCCCACGCCCCAUGCUGGAGCUCCCGGCUCGGACUCCUACUCGGGCUCCUGACUCCAGCGUCCGCUAACACAGAUCCGGGGGCUGCGGUGACGGCUCCAGUGGUGGGUUUCUGCCAGCUCCCAUGUGGGAAACUGGAUGGACUUCCCAGCUCCCAGCCCGGGCCCCUCAGCUGUGGCAGGCACUUGGAAGGCUCAGCCCAUCUGUCUCUCCAGCUCCCUGCU